AUUAAUCAGCCAGCAGGAAGUGAUGUAAUAUCAAGGGAGCUAUAAAGGGAUGCCCCUAUAUUGCCUCUCAUUCUGUAGUUGGUAUUCAAUGAGGUUGCACUUGUUCCUGUAAAAAGGAAUAGUUUCGUUCAGGAUUUGAAAUUUUCCUAAGUUCUCUGUUUGGUGACAUGUAUAAACAGAGGUAGACUAUAAGGUUCCACCAUUCUUGAUUGAAAAUAGGGAACGUAACAUCAUCUAAUUUCAACCAAAUUUAUAUAUAUUUUUUUGAAGUCUAUCUAGAUAUUAUAUUUAUCGAAUUGAAUAUGUGAUUGGAUGUAAUCAUUGGAUAUUCUAAACCUUUCUAAUCAAUGGUAAUCACUCCUACUAUAAGAACUGAUUCCAAACCCCUGAUGAAGUCCUAACGGACGAAACGCGUUGGGUUUUGCAACGUCUGGUUAACAAAGUCCUUAUCACAAACAUCUGGUUGGAGAUACAUCCAUUUUGAGUUCUGACUGUGAUCACCUGGCUGUAAAAUCCUCACAUCCAACUGUAAUUUAUGUAUAAGAUUGUAAUAUUGUUUUAUAUGAAUUUUUAGAAGGUUGUGUCAAUAACGAACGCUUAGGAUAAAUAUCGUUUGUUUCUGUACAAUAAAAACUUUUAAUUAUUGUCAUACAAAAGGCA
Molecule: long non-coding RNA, 660 nt
Organism: Pseudophryne corroboree (corroboree frog)
Lineage: Eukaryota; Metazoa; Chordata; Amphibia; Anura; Myobatrachidae
Exons: 5
Source: RefSeq, a predicted model, not a curated record